RNAcentral lists this unclassified non-coding RNA (880 nucleotides) under Hevea brasiliensis (rubber tree). The record is from RNAcentral. Lineage: Eukaryota; Viridiplantae; Streptophyta; Magnoliopsida; Malpighiales; Euphorbiaceae.
UUACCUAGUGCAUUUUAUAUAAUUAUAAUGGAUGAUAUUUCACCUCACGCCCUCCUCCCUACACAUGAAAAUUGACUCUAUUUGUGCAUGAAAAUAUCCAUCCCUAUAAUAACAGCAGGAGACAGAGUACAUGCUUAUCCGUGCCCAAGAGAGAGAGAGAUAAAACAAUUGGGUGACUCAAGAAGCAUUAAAGUAUCUAUACCUGAUUUCUAUCAAGUUGAAGACAUCUAGCCACUGGACCAAAGGCAAAAUCAUCAAUAUUAACAAAACCAGAUCCAGCAAAGUAUAAUAUAGUUCCAUCCUCCCUACAAAUGCCAACUUGUCCAAUGAAUGGUGCCAACCAUGAGACAACUGAGAGUGGAGUCCAAACUAGACAGCAUGGAAACUUGGCAUUAUUUGGAUCAAUUUCAUCUAGUGGCCACAAUUCAUGACGAAAUCCUGAUAUAGAACUCAUAUGCUCAAUGUCUGAAUCUCCUUUUACAUCCAUUAUGGAAAAUGUUCCGUGUGGCAUAUGGAUUCAGCACCUUUCUAUGAGGAAACAUAAAAUAUGUCAAACUACACCCCCAGACAUAAUGUACCGGUAAAAAGAGGCGGCGAAGAGGCCAAAAUAAAUUAAACAGGCUUGUAUAAAAUCAGCAAAGAAACCUUAGAGAAAAGAAAGUGUGAAAAAGAAGAAGAAACGUUUCUUUUCUUCUGGUAAUUGUUUAGACUGUUGCUGAAGGCUGCUGUGUUCAUGGUGUAUAGAGAAGCACAGAAGGGGGCUAAAGACCUAUUUAAUGAGAGGUUAGAUUAAAAAAAAUAAUAAAGAAUAAAAAUUCUAAAAAUGGGAAAUAAUAAAAAAUUAAAAUUGGUGAGAUUGUAUUUGGAAGAGGAAAAGGAA